RNAcentral lists this ribosomal RNA (305 nucleotides) under uncultured bacterium. Its description in RNAcentral is "bacterial SSU rRNA". It matches the Rfam family "Bacterial small subunit ribosomal RNA", at positions 335 to 638 of the family's 1533-position model. The record is from RNAcentral.
UGCCUACGGGACGCAGCAGUGAGGAAUAUUGGUCAAUGGGCGGGAGCCUGAACCAGCCAAGCCGCGUGAGGGAAGAAGGUACAGCGUAUCGUAAACCUCUUUUGUCAGGGAGCAACGCCGGCUACGUGUAGCCGGACUGAGAGUACCUGAAGAAAAAGCAUCGGCUAACUCCGUGCCAGCAGCCGCGGUAAUACGGAGGAUGCGAGCGUUAUCCGGAUUUAUUGGGUUUAAAGGGUGCGUAGGCGGAAUGCCAAGUCAGCGGUAAAAUCGCGGGGCUCAACCUCGCUCCGCCGUUGAAACUGGCG